CAAAGUAAAGCUAAAUAGCUGAGCAUUUCACUUACAUUGAAAAAAAUUAUCGUGCAAAUCGAUUUACUUUGA
RNAcentral lists this transfer RNA (72 nucleotides) under Ilyoplax obliqua. RNAcentral describes it as "tRNA-Val". It matches the Rfam family "tRNA". From Rfam's summary of the family: Transfer RNA (tRNA) molecules are approximately 80 nucleotides in length. The record is from RNAcentral. Lineage: Eukaryota; Metazoa; Arthropoda; Malacostraca; Decapoda; Dotillidae.